RNAcentral lists this transfer RNA (76 nucleotides) under Caldithrix abyssi DSM 13497. RNAcentral describes it as "tRNA-Lys". It matches the Rfam family "tRNA". From Rfam's summary of the family: Transfer RNA (tRNA) molecules are approximately 80 nucleotides in length. Their secondary structure includes four short double-helical elements and three loops (D, anti-codon, and T loops). Lineage: Bacteria; Pseudomonadati; Calditrichota; Calditrichia; Calditrichales; Calditrichaceae. The record is from RNAcentral.
GAGCCAGUAGCUCAGCCGGUAGAGCAGCGGCCUUUUAAGCCGUUGGUCCGGAGUUCGAAUCUCCGCUGGCUCACCU